UGGGCUGUCGCCAAGUGGUAAGGCAACAGGCUCUGACCCUGUUAUUCGAUGGUCCGAAUCCAUCCAGCCCAGCCA
Molecule: transfer RNA, 75 nt
Filed under: Oscillospiraceae bacterium
Lineage: Bacteria; Bacillati; Bacillota; Clostridia; Eubacteriales; Oscillospiraceae
Description: tRNA-Gln
Rfam family: tRNA
About the family: Transfer RNA (tRNA) molecules are approximately 80 nucleotides in length.
Source: RNAcentral